CCUACGGGUGGCAGCAGUCGAGAAUCAUUCACAAUGGGGGAAACCCUGAUGGUGCGACGCCGCGUGGGGGAAUGAAGUUCUUCGGAUUGUAAACCCCUGUCAUGUGGGAGCAAAUUAAAAAGAUAGUACCACAAGAGGAAGAGACUGCUAACUCUGUGCCAGCAGCCGCGGUAAUACAGAGGUCUCAAGCGUUGUUCGGAAUCACUGGGCGUAAGGCGUGCGUAGGCUGUUUCGUAAGUCGUGUGUGAAAGGCGCGGGCUCAACCCGCGGACGGCACAUGAUACUGCGAGACUAGAGUAAUGGAGGGGGAACCGGAAUUCUCGGUGUAGCAGUGAAAUGCGUAGAUAUCGAGAGGAACACUCGUGGCGAAGGCGGGUUCCUGGACAUUAACUGACGCUGAGGCACGAAGGCCAGGGGAGCGAAAGGGAUUAGAUACCCUGGUAGUC
This 446-nucleotide ribosomal RNA is filed under the name uncultured bacterium. Its description in RNAcentral is "partial 16S ribosomal RNA". It matches the Rfam family "Bacterial small subunit ribosomal RNA", at positions 338 to 795 of the family's 1533-position model. The record is from RNAcentral.